ACCUUGUUCUUGAGCUGUCCGGUUGCCACAGGGUCAGACCUGGAGGCUGCAGACCAUGAUGGCCCUUAGCAGUGUUCGGAAACAUAUGUACUCCCCCCAAAAAAACAUUCCUUGGAAAAGCUGAACAAAAUGAGUGAAAACUCAUACCGUCAUUCUCAUCGGAACUGAGGUCCAGCACGUUGCCUCCAGCAGGGACUGUUGGAGUGAAGGACAGUUUCCACUAGUCCCUAUAGGUUCCACCACCCAGGGCGUCCGCAGGCUGUUGCCGUCGGAGGUCCGCUGCCUGCUGUCAAGGAAGAUGGUCGAGGCUUCUGAGAAGCAGGCCCUGCGGGUUUCUGGAUUUGGUGUGGCCUGGCAUCCAUGGUGCAUCCCGUGCUGGCGGGUGGCCCAGGACGGGGCAGUUGCCUUGAGAGGCCCAUGGCCUGCUGGCAUGGCAGAUGGUCAGUUCUUCCGAGCAAUGGAAUCUCCAUGGAGUUGUGGAGUCGGUGUGGCCUCACAUCCACGGUGCACCCCGUGCUAGUGGAUGGCUCAGGACGGGGCAGUUGCUGUGGGAGGCCUGCCGCCAGCUGAAAGGAAGAUGGUUGAUGCUUCUGAGCAAUGAAGGCCCCGUGGAGUCCUGGAUUCGGUGUGGCCUGGCGUCCGUGGUGCACCCCAUGCUGCUGGAUGGCUCAGGACGGGGCAGUUGCCAUGGGAGGCGCAGGCCUGCUGGAAGGAAGAUGGUCGAUUCUCCCGAGCAACAAAGGCCACGCAGAGUCCUGGUUUUGGUGUGGCCUGGUAUCCAUAGUGCACCCCGUGCUGGUGGGUGGCUCAGGACGCACACUCAUUUCCUCUGCACCUUCCUGAUGUCAUUGGCAUGGAAGGAAGGCCCUUGUCCAAGAAGGAUGGUCUUCGUCUUGUGUGAUCUUUGAGAUGCCAUGAGGCCCCUGGAUACAAAUGGUGUGGGCUCCUUUGGAGGCUUUUGGAUUUCUCCUGAAUGUGGCGUUGGUAUGCAAGGAAGGCCAGUGACCACAAGGGAUGAUUUUGAUCUUGGGAGAUUUUUGGAGAUGGCAAAGUGCUUCUAAACAUGUGUGGCAUGGUCUCCUUCAGGCCGGUGGAUACCUCAGGAUGGUGGCGUUGGCAUGGAAGGAAGGACUGUGUCUGUGAGGGAUGAUCAUCCUCUCAUGUGAUCCUUGGAGAUGCCAGGAAGCCCCUUGACACAUGUGGCAUGGGCUCCUUCAGAGGCUUUUGGAUCCUUCGUGAGUGUGGUAUGGGCAUGCAAAGAAAGACAGAGGCUGCAAGGGAUGAACUUCAUCUUGGGAGAUCCCUGGAGAUGGCAGGGAACCCAUGGACACAUGUGGCAUGGGCUCCUUCGGGUGCCGGUGGAUCCCUUCAUAUGGUAGUGUUCGUGUAAAAGGCAAACCUGUGUCAUGAGAGAUGAUCAUCAUCUCGUGUGAUCCUUGGAGAUGGCAGGAAGCCCUGGACAUAGACGGUAUGGGCUCCCCCAGAGGCUGUUGGAAUCCUCCUGGAUGUGGUGUGGGCAUGGAAGGAAGGCCAGUGGAGACAAUGGAUGAUCUUGUUCUUAGCAGAUCACUGGAUGUGGCAGGGAGUCCUAGGACAUGUGUGGUGUGGGCUUCUUCAGGUGCUGGUGGCCUGGGCAUAGAAGGAAGGUCAGUGGCCAUGAGGGACAAUCUUGGUCUUGGGAGAUCCCUGGAAAUGAUAGGGAGUCCCUUGAUAUGUGUGGCAUGGGCUCCUUCAGGUGCUAGUGGAUUCCUUAGGAUGGUGGUGUUGGCAUAAAAGGCAGACUCGUAUCAUGAGGAAUGAUUGUCAUCUUGUAUGAUUCUUGGAGAUGGCAGGAAGCCCCUGGAAACACAUGAUGUGGACUCUGUCAUAGGCUGUUGAAACCCUCCCGAAGGGGCAAGGACUGGAUCGAUGAUGACUUCCAUAUAUACAUUCCUUGGAAAGCUGAACAAAAUGAGUGAAAACUCUAUACCGUCAUCCUCGUCGAACUGAGGUAUUGUGGCCAUGGAAGUAAGGCCAGUGGCUACGAGGGACAGUCUUCAUCUUGGGAGAUCCCUAGAGAGGGCAGGGAGCCCCUUGACAUGUGGAAUGUGGUUUCCGUUGGGUGCUGGUGGAUCCCACAGGUGGUGUGGCAUGGAAGAAGGCCAGAGGCUGCGAUGGAUCAUCUUUGUCUUGGGAGAUUCCUGGAGAUGGUGGGGAGCCCCUGGGCACGUGCAGCACAUGUGGUGUGGGCUUCUUCAGGUGCUGGUGGAUCCCUCAGGAUGUUCAUCGUGGAACCAGCACAGAUUUUCAUAUGAAAGUUAUAUUUUUUUUUAACCUCAAAAAGUGACAGAAUGGAGUGUAUCAUGAAAAAGUCUGACAUCAAAACCUCAAAAUGUGAUAUUGAUUGGGUGAGAUAGAAUUCCAUGGAAUUUCAUUGCCAAACCAGUGAAGUGCUAAUUUUGACAUUUGUACCAGCUAACGUAGCUGUGAAGAAACACACCAAUACGCUUCUAAGGACAACAUAGACCAAGAUCUAGGUUUCAUAUGGAUGAAUUUAUUCUUCCCUUCGAGGCAAGACAAGAAGGAAAGAAAGUAUUGGGAAUAAUGCUGCCCUCCCAUCCUCAAGGGCCAGUGGGAACUCUAAUAUUGAUUGGUUGUCACGGAAUUCCAUGGAAUUUAACUGCUGAACCAAUGAUGCGCUGAUUUUGUCAUUUGUACCAUCUAACUCAUCUGGGAGGCAACAAAACAAUAUUCUCCUGAGGUUAAUGUGGACCAAGAACUAGAUUUCAUGUAAAAGAGUUUAUUCCUUCUACUUAAGGUGUGACAUGAAGGAAAGUAAUGGAAAUAAUUCUGCCCUCCCAUUCUCAAGGGCCAGGGGGAAUUCUAAUAUUGAACGGAAGUGAUUUUGGAAUUGCAUGGAAUUCUCACUGCCAUCCCAAAGAAAUGCUCAUCUUGUCACUCUUACCUGUUCCAUUCCCCGGGACAGAACAAAAGGAUUCACUCCAAAGAUUGGCAUGAACCAAGAACUGGGUUUCAUAUAAAAUAUUUUAUUCUGUCCUCUUGAGAUGUGACAUGAAGAAAAGUAUUGAGAAUACUUCUAUCACCUCAUCUUCAAGAAUCCAUAGGAAUUCUCCCACGGUGGACGUUACGGUUCACCUGAACAGGUCUUGGAAAAAGGACUUUAAACAUUCUCCUGUUCUGUGGAAUAAGUAUACUUUUUUUCUGGACAUACACCUUGUCAGUGAGUUCCAUGUGAUACUAGAGUUGCAUAGAUUUUUAACCUUUACACCAAUGAAGAUCUGAGGCAAACAUUGCCCCUUUUUUAGAAGUUUGCAUUUGUCACUGAUAACUGUAAUAAUUGAUCUUGUUGAAAAGCCUGGGAAAUGAAGAUCUGAUAUGUCACUUUUACCAGCUUCCUCAACUGAAAAAGAAUACAACGAAACACGCCGAGAAUUUUUGUGCUUUCUCAGUCUUGCUGAUGAUCUUUCUAUGGGCAUGAAGCGUGGAGAGUGCCAGAGAGGCUGAUCCUCAGCAGUGUGGCAGAGGAAAUUUGGGUGCAACCAAGGGGUAUGCGGUGCCCAAAUGCCACUGGGUCCUCAGCAGUACCACCUGAUUGGAAGUGAUAUUGGUGGAAGACAACAUUUUGCCGCUUGGAAUUCUCACCUCCACACCAAAGAAGUACUGUUUUUGUCAUUUGCACGAGCUUCUUUCUCCAGGAAAGAUCAAAAUGAUGCACUGCAAGUGUGGUUGGUCCAGAUAGCUGCCUUAUCCAACUGCCUCCUUUGGACCACUUCAUCAUGGGACAGCUUGAUGCAAUCUACUUGACAAGCCCCUGGAACCCCACACCCCUCAUGGAGCCAGUGUCCACCUCCUAGUCACAGUGUGACCCCAGGGAACUCAUGCCUGCUUGCUUUAAACCCACCACUUAAAAGUCUCCACAGAAAACCUGUUUGAAUAGUACCCUUGACCCAAUAAGGGCAUUGGCCCAUGGGUGUCUCUCUCUCUCUCUCCCCCUCUCUCUCUCUCGCUCCCUGACCUCUGCGUGUGGACUCCAGGCAUGCCAUAUACCCCUCAGGACCUGAAGCAAGAGAAUGAAUUAAAGAAAACUCCAGAGAAUGAGCUGACAACUUACUCCCUAGUCAGUGGCUCUCCAUGCCUACCUGUGGUCUCUUGGACACCCUUGCAGAAUAUGACUUCCUGGGAACUCUUCUGGAAGUGAAUGUUGUCAGCAGAUUCCCAAAACAACACCCCUUAGACAAAAAGCCUCCUCACCUAUGCAUUGCCUAGGCCACCCACGAAAGGUGAUGGCCACAAAGAGGUGGAUUUGUUGAGUUGGUGCCAUUCCUUCUACUGCCAGCUUCACCAAAACAAUGACACAGUCUUCCUUCUGCAUGGAGACUCUUCUCUUUCCUGUGUUGCAGUGGAUGCCUCCUGCAGAUAAGAAAUGCUUAACUGAGAAAUGCUCAUGUUGGGAUAUCAUCGAUGAGACUUUAAUUUGGGCAUGGUGACUGUUUCCCUUGCUGCCACUUGACUCAAUCCCAGGAGGCUCAGUAGAGGAUAUAAUAUUACACAAGAUGCUCAAAAUGGUGGAAUUGCUCAGUGCUCCCAUAAAUAUACAUUUAUAAUUUUCAUUUGCCACAUGGUAAACUGAAAAAUACAGAAUAUAUUAAAAAGAAACUGCAUGAUUUUUUUUCAAAAAUUCAAAGCAUAUUUAAAUAAUAUAUAAAUUAAAUGCCCUCCUCUCUUCCAAUUCUGUCCCUAUAGUUUUCCUCUAUUAAGUGAACUACAUGCAUUCUUUUAGUGGAUAGAUACACACAAACCAUUGUGGGGAAGGAUCCACGUGUGUGGCCAUAUUGUAACACAUUUUUCUGCAAAUUACCUCUUUCAUUUAACAGCCCUUAUUCAAUGGCCUUUUUCUUUUUCAGUAAUACAUACACAUCUGUGUCAUUUGUUGAAUGACGACAUGAAUGUUUUGUAGAUGAAAUAUAAUUAAAUGUUUUAAGCAUUUCUCAGUCAUAGAUAUUUAUGUUAGCACCAAAUUUCUGUGCAAUGAACCUCCCUAUAUAUCAAUAAUUUUGCAUUUGUCUAUAAUAUCAUAAUAAAUUACUUAUCAGUUGAAUUACUAGGAUUAAGUAUGUGCACACUUUAUAUUUUGAAAAUUAUUGCAAGAUUGCCUUCAAAAAUGUGGUUAACAACUUUAUCCUCAAAUGGCAAUGAAUGAGAUUGCCAGCUUUCCUACAACCUCACAGACAAUGGAUUUUAUAAAUAUUUAACAUUUUUGCCAAUGUGAUCACCCAGACUAUUGUCUUAAAUUGUAUUUCUUUUGUUUUUGAGUUUCGUCAUUUUUUCAUGUUUAUUAGCCAUCUGUAUUUUUUAAUUUCUUCUUUAUGUCCAAUUUUAUGGGUGGGAGGAGGAUUUAGUCUCUUCCUGAUUUCGAAGAGCUCAUUUACUAUUUCGGAAAAUAAGAUUUGGAUUGUCAACCAUUAUAGCUAUUUUUUACACACUUUUCAACUUUGUUUUUGUUAUAAGAAUGUGUAUGAUUGUUAUAUGUCCAAGUAUAACCAUGUUCGCUUUUAUGGCUUCUGAGUUUCAUGUCAUUUUUGGAAAGAUAUAUAUACUGAGUCCAUAAAACCCUUCACCUGUGUUAAAUUCUAGUUCUUUUGUGUUUUUUUAAUUCAGAUUCUUAAAUCAUGAGAAAUUUUUUUGUUUUGAAAUCUUAAAGUUGCCAAGUUACUUGCCAUUACUUGCGAUUAUUUGCCAAUAAUUGCCCAUUUAUCUGUACUGCCAUCUUGCGCAUAUGCUGUACUCUCAUCUGUGACUGGCUCCAUUUUUGUUCUGUGGAUUUGUGUGUCUCUUCUUCUGCCUCCUGUCUCAUGUGUCUUCUCGUUGGAAGAAAUUACAGUUUAGACUGCAAUUUCAUCAACUUUAAUAAAUCAAUUGAGGGGAGAAUUGGUUUUUAAAAAUAUUAAGUAAGUCUUCAUAUCCAAGGACAAGGUAUGUCUUUUCUUAUUCAAUAAUUUUAAUUACUGUUAAUAUUUUCACUGUGGUGAUGGGAUUUUUUCUUUUAAUUUAUUUUCUUGUUCAUUUUUUGUAUCUAAAGUUUUUGUUUUGUUUUGUUUUGGGGGUAAGUUGUCACCUUACUGUUUCUUGUUGCUUUUCAGAUUUUUUCAAAGUAUAGAGUAAAUCCUUCACAAAUAUUUAAAGUUUUUAUUUUCCCCCUUCAUAUUGAUCCUGAUUUUAGUUAUGUUGACAAAGUCCACUGACUGUUACUAUCGGAACACUUGAACAGUUAUGGAAGUAUUACCUACCCUUGAUUUAAUCAGAGUUUAAUGGUAUGCUUCUUUGGUUUGACUGGCACAUUGUUGCUGGUCAUUUUCUCCCAAAGACCACCAGAAAGAGCUAUGAUCAAGCAAAGCUGAGUUUGUUAAACUUACCUGCAGCAAGGGAAAACACCACCUUGAUAGGGUUUAAUAAUGUUUCAAAAUCAAGAAAUGAGACUUUGGGGUCUGGGCAGGGAACUAAUUAGAAAUGGGCAAAAUUUGUCAUGCAAUACUUUAAGAUUGGUGGGAAAGUGAGAUGAAGUUCUUAAUGUGAGUAUUGAUGGUUAAAUCAUUUUCUAGGUGAGCUGUUUGCCUAUAUAAAGAUGUUAUCAAUGAUAGAAGAACUAUUUGCCUAGAUAAACUGAAUUUAUUUAUUGGUUUACAGUUUUAUCUUGCUGGGCAGGACUCUGCUGGGGGUGGUAUCAGGUCUUAUUCCCAAUAGGUAAGUUAUUUGGAUAUGGGUGGUCUUAAUCAUCAAUGUUUAAAAUGCUGAUUUUAAGUGCGAAAUGCUUUGUCUACCAUGUUAGGAAAGUCCCCCACCUUUUAUCUUUUUAAAGGAAUUUUAAUCAAAACCAGGUGGUAGAUAUAAUCAAAUUUUUUUGCAGAAUCAAUUUUACUGUUCUUUUUAAAGACUUUUAUCACUGUGAAUUAAUUUACUAUUAUUGCAACUUCCUUUUAUUCCUUGAAUGAACAGACCCUACUGGUUUUAAAAAUGUUUUAUUCUUUUAAUUUACUACUUAAUUGUGGGUAUUUUACUUUGAUUUGGAAUUUUUACAAGUAUACAACUAAGUGAAAUUGAUCUGUGAUUUUUCUUUUUUGUGCUAUUUUUGUCAUGUUUUGAUAUCAGAUAUUCUGGUUGUGUUAAAAUAAUUUUGAGGAUUUUCUUCUUAUACUGUGUUCUAGAGUGGGUAAAAAAAGCCCUAGUCUCACUAUCAGUGUUUAAGUGAACACAUCAAUGACAUCAUCUGGACUCUCCUUUGUUUUUGCUGGUUUGGAGUUAGGACAUCUAGAAGUUUGUUUUUUAUUUUUUUUUCCUUUUUUUGUAUGGUUAUUGCUUGUUCUUUGUUUUGUGUCAAAUUUAACCUGUUUUCUCUUAGCAAAUCACAGUUCGUGCAGAUUUUCAAACACAUUAGCAUUGUUAUACAAAGUGUUCUUUCAUCAUUCUAUUAAAUUUCCAUUUUCAUUCCAGUUAUAGUUAUUUCUGCUGUGCCUUUGUUAAUGAAUAAGUUUAAAUCGUGGAUGUUUAGCAUCACUAGCCUUCCCCUUCCAUCUCCCUUAAUCAGGUCUUUGGUAUAAUUUAUCAGGUAUUUUUUAAGGUUCUAAUUUACUUAUAUAUAUUGCUUCUGUAUUCUUUUGUUUCUUUUCUUAAUAAAUUCUUAAACCUGUGUAA
Molecule: antisense RNA, 7689 nt
Filed under: Pongo abelii (Sumatran orangutan)
Lineage: Eukaryota; Metazoa; Chordata; Mammalia; Primates; Hominidae
Rfam family: Small nucleolar RNA SNORD116 (bases 1903-1994)
Source: RNAcentral